UUUAAAUUGAGAGUUUGAUCCUGGCUCAGGACGAACGCUGGCGGCGUGCUUAACACAUGCAAGUCGAGCGAUGAAACUUCCUUCGGGAAGUGGAUUAGCGGCGGACGGGUGAGUAACACGUGGGCAACCUGCCUCAAAGAGGGGAAUAGCCCUCCGAAAGGAGGAUUAAUACCGCAUAAAGUUAAGGUUUCGCAUGAAACUUUAACCAAAGGAGUAAUCUGCUUUGAGAUGGGCCCGCGCCCCAUUAGCUAGUUGGUAAGGUAAUGGCUUACCAAGGCGACGAUGGGUAGCCGACCUGAGAGGGUGAUCGGCCACAUUGGAACUGAGACACGGUCCAGACUCCUACGGGAGGCAGCAGUGGGGAAUAUUGCGCAAUGGGGGAAACCCUGACGCAGCAACGCCGCGUGGGUGAUGAAGGUUUUCGGAUCGUAAAACCCUGUUUUCUGGGACGAUAAUGACGGUACCAGAUGAGGAAGCCACGGCUAACUACGUGCCAGCAGCCGCGGUAAUACGUAGGUGGCAAGCGUUGUCCGGAUUUACUGGGCGUAAAGGGUGCGUAGGCGGAUGCUUAAGUGAGAUGUGAAAUACCUAAGCUUAACUUAGGGGCUGCAUUUCAAACUGGGCAUCUAGAGUACAGGAGAGGGAAACGGAAUUCCUAGUGUAGCGGUGAAAUGCGUAGAGAUUAGGAAGAACACCAGUGGCGAAGGCGGUUUCCUGGACUGUAACUGACGCUGAGGCACGAAAGCGUGGGUAGCAAACAGGAUUAGAUACCCUGGUAGUCCACGCCGUAAACGAUGAAUACUAGGUGUAGGAGGGUCCAACCUUCUGUGCCGCAGUUAACACAUUAAGUAUUCCGCCUGGGGAGUACGGUCGCAAGACUAAAACUCAAAGGAAUUGACGGGGGCCCGCACAAGCAGCGGAGCAUGUGGUUUAAUUCGAAGCAACGCGAAGAACCUUACCUAGACUUGACAUACCCUGAAUUACUCGUAACUGAGGAAGUCCCUUCGGGGACAGGGAUACAGGUGGUGCAUGGUUGUCGUCAGCUCGUGUCGUGAGAUGUUGGGUUAAGUCCCGCAACGAGCGCAACCCUUAUUAUUAGUUGCUUGGGGAUGACGUCAAAUCAUCAUGCCCCUUAUGUCUAGGGCUACACACGUGCUACAAUGGUCGGUACAGAGAGACGCAAGACCGCGAGGUGGAGCAAAUCUCAAAAACCGAUCCCAGUUCGGAUUGCAGGCUGAAACUCGCCUGCAUGAAGCCGGAGUUGCUAGUAAUCGCAAAUCAGAAUGUUGCGGUGAAUACGUUCCCGGGCCUUGUACACACCGCCCGUCACACCAUGAGAGUUGGCAACACCCGAAGUCCGUGAGGUAACCGUAAGGAGCCAGCGGCCGAAGGUGGGGUUAAUGAUUGGGGUGAAGUCGUAACAAGGUAGCCGUAGGAGAACCUGCGGCUGGAUCACCUCCUUUCUA
This 1466-nucleotide ribosomal RNA is filed under the name Clostridium tetani. RNAcentral's name for it is "bacterial SSU rRNA". It matches the Rfam family "Bacterial small subunit ribosomal RNA". The record is from RNAcentral. Lineage: Bacteria; Bacillati; Bacillota; Clostridia; Eubacteriales; Clostridiaceae.